GUAGGAAGUAUAUUUGUGAAAUAUAUCCACCAGUGACAAAAGCAAAUGACCAAAGCUUAUGAGGUAACUCUGCAUAGGUGUUGUGAAGUUAGAGGUGUCAUGUUGAGAUAAAAAAAUACGCAAUUUGAUAUACUAUCCAUCAUUAUUAUUUGGAUUUACUGAUUCAAAAGUUGUAUUUUUAUAAAAAUUCUGUAAUGAACUCGUAUUGUUAUCAUUUAGACUAUACUGAAGAAUCUGGUGUAUAAGUUAUUUUACUACAGAGCCAAUAAUAUAUAGAUCUUUAUUUUGCAUUAAUUUCAUAGUGUAACGCUUCCUAGAACACAUAAGAUGACAACUUAUCAGUAUUUUCUAAUGAUUAAGUGAUUGACAGGUUUAAGUCUCUGCUGCAUCAAAGAAAGGUCACCCUUGACCCUACAUAUGAUUCAACUGAAAUCUUUCAACAUCGUGUCUACUUCAAUCUUCUUGCAUCAUGUCUAUGUAUAUGUAUUUGUUUUCGAAUAAUUGGGAUAUUGUUCUUAGAUUGUGUACAAACUGGUGUUGAAGUUUGUGUUUCUUCUGGUGUUGGAGUUUGUGUGUUUUAGUAUCCAGAACCUGAGUACACGAUUUUGGAAUAAUUCUUUUCCCUUCCCAAG
Molecule: long non-coding RNA, 632 nt
Filed under: Trifolium pratense (red clover)
Lineage: Eukaryota; Viridiplantae; Streptophyta; Magnoliopsida; Fabales; Fabaceae
Description: long non-coding RNA (TPRA_LNC000820)
Source: RNAcentral